This 253-nucleotide ribosomal RNA is filed under the name uncultured bacterium. RNAcentral describes it as "partial 16S ribosomal RNA". It matches the Rfam family "Bacterial small subunit ribosomal RNA", at positions 524 to 776 of the family's 1533-position model. The record is from RNAcentral.
UACGUAGGGGGCAAGCGUUGUCCGGAAUCAUUGGGCGUAAAGAGCGUGUAGGCGGCUCGUUAAGUCCGCUGUGAAAGUCCAGGGCUCAACCCUGGAAUGCCGGCGGAAACUGUCGAGCUAGAGUCCGGAAGAGGCGAGUGGAAUUCCUGGUGUAGCGGUGAAAUGCGCAGAUAUCAGGAGGAACACCGAUGGCGAAGGCAGCUCGCUGGGACGGUACUGACGCUGAGACGCGAAAGCGUGGGGAGCAAACAGG